RNAcentral lists this ribosomal RNA (254 nucleotides) under uncultured bacterium. RNAcentral's name for it is "partial 16S ribosomal RNA". It matches the Rfam family "Bacterial small subunit ribosomal RNA", at positions 524 to 776 of the family's 1533-position model. The record is from RNAcentral.
UACGAAGGGGGCGAGCGUUGUUCGGAAUUACUGGGCGUAAAGGGCUCGUAGGCGGCCAACUAAGUCAGACGUGAAAUCCCUCGGCUUAACCGGGGAACUGCGUCUGAUACUGGAUGGCUUGAGAUUGGGAGAGGGAUGCGGAAUUCCAGGUGUAGCGGUGAAAUGCGUAGAUAUCUGGAGGAACACCGGUGGCGAAGGCGGCAUCCUGGACCAACACUGACGCUGAGGGAGCGAAAGCCAGGGGAGCAAACGGG